AGAAGAUACCCUGAAAGACCAGACCUACUGGAAACUCACUUAAGAAUAAAAGUAGGAAUAGCUAAUUCUUUAUGUUUCACUUCAGUUUGUGCCUUCGGCGCUCCCAAUAAACCAGGGAUAAUUAUCAAUGACUCUACUCCAAGGAAGGUUCUUAGCGUAAGUGAAGUGUGUAAGAGCUCCAGGAAUGUCAAACUUCAUUCUUUUGAGGCCAAGGCUGCAGAUAAAAAUCAAAGUACUCAAUUGAAGAGCAUCGUCUGCCCCGAUUGUGAAGCAAACGGUUCAAAACCGUGUCCUCAAUGCAAAGGUACCGGAGUUAAUUCUGUUGAUCACUUCAACGGACGAUUUAAAGCCGGUGGACUGUGUUGGCUUUGCAGGGGGAAAAAGGAGGUUUUAUGCGGGAACUGCAAUGGAGCCGGCUUUCUUGGUGGAUUCAUGAGCGGCUAAACGUCAAGACAUCAAUGCUUUAAGGUUGUCUUCAACCAUGUU
Long non-coding RNA from Hibiscus syriacus, 486 nucleotides. RefSeq lists it as uncharacterized. The record is from RefSeq and is a predicted model, not a curated record. The transcript is spliced from 5 exons. Lineage: Eukaryota; Viridiplantae; Streptophyta; Magnoliopsida; Malvales; Malvaceae.